Molecule: ribosomal RNA, 1072 nt
Filed under: Myrothecium sp. W MG-2013
Lineage: Eukaryota; Fungi; Ascomycota; Sordariomycetes; Hypocreales; Stachybotryaceae
Description: eukaryotic LSU rRNA
Rfam family: Eukaryotic large subunit ribosomal RNA
Source: RNAcentral
GGUUGACCUCACAUCAGGUAGGAAUACCCGCUGAACUUAAGCAUAUCAAUAAGCGGAGGAAAAGAAACCAACAGGGAUUGCCCUAGUAACGGCGAGUGAAGCGGCAACAGCUCAAAUUUGAAAUCUGGCGCAAGCCCGAGUUGUAAUUUGUAGAGGAUGUUUCUGGCGAAGUGCCUUCCGAGUUCCCUGGAACGGGACGCCAUAGAGGGUGAGAGCCCCGUACGGUUGGAUGCCUAGCCUCUGUGAAACUCCUUCGACGAGUCGAGUAGUUUGGGAAUGCUGCUCUAAAUGGGAGGUAUACGUCUUCUAAAGCUAAAUACCGGCCAGAGACCGAUAGCGCACAAGUAGAGUGAUCGAAAGAUGAAAAGCACUUUGAAAAGAGGGUUAAAAAGUACGUGAAAUUGUUGAAAGGGAAGCGUUCAUGACCAGACUUGGGCAGGUUGAUCAUCCGUGGUUCUCCGCGGUGCACUCUGCCUGCCCAGGCCAGCAUCAGUUCGCCCCGGGGGAUAAAGGUUUCGGGAAUGUGGCUCCUCCGGGAGUGUUAUAGCCCGUUGCGUAAUACCCUGGGGUGGACUGAGGUUCGCGCUCCGCAAGGAUGCUGGCGUAAUGGUCAUCAACGACCCGUCUUGAAACACGGACCAAGGAGUCGUCUUCGUAUGCGAGUGUUCGGGUGUCAAACCCCUACGCGUAAUGAAAGUGAACGUAGGAGAGAGCUUCGGCGCAUCUCCGACCGAUCCUGAUGUUCUCGGAUGGAUUUGAGUAAGAGCAUACGGGGCCGGACCCGAAAGAAGGUGAACUAUGCCUGUAUAGGGUGAAGCCAGAGGAAACUCUGGUGGAGGCUCGCAGCGGUUCUGACGUGCAAAUCGAUCGUCAAAUAUGGGCAUGGGGGCGAAAGACUAAUCGAACCUUCUAGUAGCUGGUUUCCGCCGAAGUUUCCCUCAGGAUAGCAGUAUUGAACUCAGUUUUAUGAGGUAAAGCGAAUGAUUAGGGACCCGGGGGCGCUAUAUUGCCUUCAUCCAUUCUCAAACUUUAAAUAUGUAAGAAGCCCUUGUUGCUUAAUUGAACGUGGGCA